AUUGAACGCUGGCGGUAUGCUUAAGACAUGCAAGUCGAACGGAGUACUUCGGUACUCAGUGGCGGACGGGUGAGUAACACGUGGGAAUCUACCCAAUAGAGGGGGACAGCCCGGCGAAAGCCGGAUUAAUACCGCAUACGCCCUACGGGGGAAAGGCGCAAGCCGCUAUUGGAUGAGCCCGCGUAAGAUUAGCUAGUUGGUAAGGUAAAGGCUUACCAAGGCGACGAUCUUUAGCUGGUCUGAGAGGAUGGCCAGCCACAUCGGGACUGAGACACGGCCCGGACUCCUACGGGAGGCAG
RNAcentral lists this ribosomal RNA (299 nucleotides) under uncultured Pseudomonadota bacterium. Its description in RNAcentral is "uncultured proteobacterium partial 16S ribosomal RNA". It matches the Rfam family "Bacterial small subunit ribosomal RNA", at positions 30 to 351 of the family's 1533-position model. Lineage: Bacteria; Pseudomonadati; Pseudomonadota. The record is from RNAcentral.